Long non-coding RNA from Homo sapiens (human), 1121 nucleotides. Ensembl annotates it as disrupted in renal carcinoma 3. Its record names the gene DIRC3. NCBI's taxonomy places the organism in Eukaryota, Metazoa, Chordata, Mammalia, Primates, Hominidae. The record is from Ensembl.
AUUGUCUUCUCUGGGGAAGUUAGCUGUCAUGUUGUGAGGAUACUCAAGCAGUUUAUAAAGAGGUUCAUGUCGCAAGGAAUGGAGGCCUCCUGCCAACAGCCAUGUAAAGGAGCCAUCUAGGAAAUAGAUUCUCCAGCCCCAGUCAGACCUUCAGAUGAUUACAGCCCCUACCAACCUUCUGACUGCGGUGGAAGGAAGGUUCCGGAACCAGAACCACCCAGGAAACAUCUAUGAAGUGCCUACUUGUAUCUGAAUGAUGGCCUGGAACUAAGAAGACUAAAACAUGACUCGAACUUGAGAGACCACAGUCUGGUGAGAAACAUAAGUGGACCCAAAAAGCUAAAACACAAUAGCAAAGAAAAAUGCUACAAUAGGGUGGCUAACCAAUGGCGAAGCCAAGCAUAGUGGAGUCAGACUCCCUCAAUUCAAACCCAGGUUCUGAUGCUUAUUAGGUUGCAGGAUCUUUUUCUCAAAGUCUCAAUUUUGUCAUCUGUAAUAGUAUUGCCUUUAUGAAAUUGCUAUAAGGGAUUAACUGAGAUAAUGCAUGAAAAGUACUUGCACUGUGAAUGGCCCAUAGAAAGACUUUUAAAAUGUUAAUUGACACCAUUGUUCUCUGUUUCAGUUCUUCUCAUUUGUAAAAUGAAGGUGGUAACUGUACUUAUAGGGUUACCAUGAGAUUCAAAUUAUGUAAUGCAAGGAAAGUGCUUGGCACAGUGCCUGACAGUAAGCACUUGAUAAUUGUUAACUGUGAUUUUUAUUUCGUAUAAAGUAAAAAGGAAAGGAACAUAAAACUGAUUAGAGGUGUCAUGUACUAAUGUCUGCAAUGUACUUUGAAAUGCAUCAAAAAAUAGAUGGAUUGGGUAGAGGAAUAAAGGUAUGGAGAGAUGCAUAGAUAUGAUGGAAAAAAUAGAGCAAAAUCUUAAUUGUAGAACCCUUCAUUGUCUUCUCCAUGGCUCCUUGUAACCCCUUGUUGAAUCGGGGGCUUCUGGAGAGACUCAACUGGAGGAGGGAGGGGAGGGAGGGAAGAAGGUAAAGAGAUGGUGAGUACAUGGAUGUUCACUGUGCUGUUCUUUCAACUUUCCGUGUGGUUGAAAUUUUCCAUAAUAAAACUUUGGAAGAAA